This 63-nucleotide transfer RNA is filed under the name Gregariella coralliophaga. Its description in RNAcentral is "tRNA-Val". The record is from RNAcentral. Lineage: Eukaryota; Metazoa; Mollusca; Bivalvia; Mytilida; Mytilidae.
AGUAAAGUAAUAUAUUAGUAUGUUUCACUUACACUGAAAAUGACGGUAAUAACCGCUUUACUU